RNAcentral lists this ribosomal RNA (550 nucleotides) under uncultured bacterium. RNAcentral describes it as "bacterial SSU rRNA". It matches the Rfam family "Bacterial small subunit ribosomal RNA", at positions 355 to 896 of the family's 1533-position model. The record is from RNAcentral.
UAGGGAAUCUUCGGCAAUGGGGGCAACCCUGACCGAGCAACGCCGCGUGAGUGAAGAAGGUUUUCGGAUCGUAAAGCUCUGUUGUAAGUCAAGAACGAGUGUGAGAGUGGAAAGUUCACACUGUGACGGUAGCUUACCAGAAAGGGACGGCUAACUACGUGCCAGCAGCCGCGGUAAUACGUAGGUCCCGAGCGUUGUCCGGAUUUAUUGGGCGUAAAGCGAGCGCAGGCGGUUUGAUAAGUCUGAAGUUAAAGGCUGUGGCUCAACCAUAGUUCGCUUUGGAAACUGUCAAACUUGAGUGCAGAAGGGGAGAGUGGAAUUCCAUGUGUAGCGGUGAAAUGCGUAGAUAUAUGGAGGAACACCGGUGGNGAAAGCGGCUCUCUGGUCUGUAACUGACGCUGAGGCUCGAAAGCGUGGGGAGCGAACAGGAUUAGAUACCCUGGUAGUCCACGCCGUAAACGAUGAGUGCUAGGUGUUGGAUCCUUUCCGGGAUUCAGUGCCGCAGCUAACGCAUUAAGCACUCCGCCUGGGGAGUACGACCGCAAGGUUG